UACACUCCUACGGGAGGCAGCAGUGGGGAAUUUUGGACAAUGGGCGCAAGCCUGAUCCAGCCAUGCCGCGUGCGGGAAGAAGGCCUUCGGGUUGUAAACCGCUUUUGUCAGGGAAGAAAAGGUUCUGGCUAAUACCUGGGACUCAUGACGGUACCUGAAGAAUAAGCACCGGCUAACUACGUGCCAGAAGCCGCGGUAAUACGUAGGGUGCAAGCGUUAAUCGGAAUUACUGGGCGUAAAGCGUGCGCAGGCGGUUAUGCAAGACAGAGGUGAAAUCCCCGGGCUCAACCUGGGAACUGCCUUUGUGACUGCAUGGCUAGAGUACGGUAGAGGGGGAUGGAAUUCCGCGUGUAGCAGUGAAAUGCGUAGAUAUGGGGAGGAACACCGAUGGCGAAGGCAAUCCCCUGGACCUGUACUGACGCUCAUGCACGAAAGCGUGGGGAGCAAACAGGAUUAGAAACCCUAGUAGUCCCAUG
This 476-nucleotide ribosomal RNA is filed under the name uncultured organism. RNAcentral's name for it is "partial 16S ribosomal RNA". It matches the Rfam family "Bacterial small subunit ribosomal RNA", at positions 332 to 799 of the family's 1533-position model. The record is from RNAcentral.